GGGUUGUGAGGUUAAGCGACUAAGCGUACACGGUGGAUGCCCUGGCAGUCAGAGGCGAUGAAGGACGUGCUAAUCUGCGAAAAGCGUCGGUAAGGUGAUAUGAACCGUUAUAACCGGCGAUGUCCGAAUGGGGAAACCCAGUGCAAUUCGUUGCACUAUCGUUAACUGAAUACAUAGGUUAACGAGGCGAACCGGGGGAACUGAAACAUCUAAGUACCCCGAGGAAAAGAAAUCAACCGAGAUUCCCCCAGUAGCGGCGAGCGAACGGGGAGCAGCCCAGAGUCUGAAUCAGCUUGUGUGUUAGUGGAACGGUCUGGAAAGUCCGACGGUACAGGGUGAUAGUCCCGUACACCAAAAUGCACAGGCUGUGAACUCGAAGAGUAGGGCGGGACACGUGGUAUCCUGUCUGAAUAUGGGGGGACCAUCCUCCAAGGCUAAAUACUCCUGACUGACCGAUAGUGAACCAGUACCGUGAGGGAAAGGCGAAAAGAACCCCGGCGAGGGGAGUGAAAAAGAACCUGAAACCGUGUACGUACAAGCAGUGGGAGCACCUUCGGGUGUGACUGCGUACCUUUUGUAUAAUGGGUCAGCGACUUAUAUUCUGUAGCAAGGUUAACCGUAUAGGGGAGCCGCAGGGAAACCGAGUCUUAACUGGGCGUUAAGUUGCAGGGUAUAGACCCGAAACCCGGUGAUCUAGCCAUGGGCAGGUUGAAGGUUGGGUAACACUAACUGGAGGACCGAACCGACUAAUGUUGAAAAAUUAGCGGAUGACUUGUGGCUGGGGGUGAAAGGCCAAUCAAACCGGGAGAUAGCUGGUUCUCCCCGAAAGCUAUUUAGGUAGCGCCUCGUGAAUUCAUCUUCGGGGGUAGAGCACUGUUUCGGCUAGGGGGUCAUCCCGACUUACCAACCCGAUGCAAACUACGAAUACCGAAGAAUGUUAUCACGGGAGACACACGGCGGGUGCUAACGUCCGUCGUGAAGAGGGAAACAACCCAGACCGCCAGCUAAGGUCCCAAAGUCAUGGUUAAGUGGGAAACGAUGUGGGAAGGCACAGACAGCCAGGAUGUUGGCUUAGAAGCAGCCAUCAUUUAAAGAAAGCGUAAUAGCUCACUGGUCGAGUCGGCCUGCGCGGAAGAUGUAACGGGGCUAAACCAUGCACCGAAGCUGCGGCAGCGACACUAUGUGUUGUUGGGUAGGGGAGCGUUCUGUAAGCCUGCGAAGGUGUGCUGUGAGGCAUGCUGGAGGUAUCAGAAGUGCGAAUGCUGACAUAAGUAACGAUAAAGCGGGUGAAAAGCCCGCUCGCCGGAAGACCAAGGGUUCCUGUCCAACGUUAAUCGGGGCAGGGUGAGUCGACCCCCUAAGGCGAGGCCGAAAGGCGUAGUCGAUGGGAAACAGGUUAAUAUUCCUGUACUUGGUGUUACUGCGAAGGGGGGACGGAGAAGGCUAUGUUAGCCGGGCGACGGUUGUCCCGGUUUAAGCAUGUAGGCUGGUUGUCCAGGCAAAUCCGGAUAAUCAAGGCUGAGGUGUGAUGACGAGGCACUACGGUGCUGAAGUAACAAAUGCCCUGCUUCCAGGAAAAGCCUCUAAGCAUCAGGUAACAUCAAAUCGUACCCCAAACCGACACAGGUGGUCAGGUAGAGAAUACCAAGGCGCUUGAGAGAACUCGGGUGAAGGAACUAGGCAAAAUGGUGCCGUAACUUCGGGAGAAGGCACGCUGGUGUGUAGGUGAAGUCCCUGCGGAUGGAGCUGAGACCAGUCGAAGAUACCAGCUGGCUGCAACUGUUUAUUAAAAACACAGCACUGUGCAAACACGAAAGUGGACGUAUACGGUGUGACGCCUGCCCGGUGCCGGAAGGUUAAUUGAUGGGGUUAUCCGUAAGGAGAAGCUCUUGAUCGAAGCCCCGGUAAACGGCGGCCGUAACUAUAACGGUCCUAAGGUAGCGAAAUUCCUUGUCGGGUAAGUUCCGACCUGCACGAAUGGCGUAAUGAUGGCCAGGCUGUCUCCACCCGAGACUCAGUGAAAUUGAACUCGCUGUGAAGAUGCAGUGUACCCGCGGCAAGACGGAAAGACCCCGUGAACCUUUACUAUAGCUUGACACUGAACAUUGAGCCUUGAUGUGUAGGAUAGGUGGGAGGCUUUGAAGCGUGGACGCCAGUCUGCGUGGAGCCAACCUUGAAAUACCACCCUUUAAUGUUUGAUGUUCUAACGUUGGCCCCUUACCGGGGUUGCGGACAGUGUCUGGUGGGUAGUUUGACUGGGGCGGUCUCCUCCCAAAGCGUAACGGAGGAGCACGAAGGUUAGCUAAUCCUGGUCGGACAUCAGGAGGUUAGUGCAAUGGCAUAAGCUAGCUUGACUGCGAGCGUGACGGCGCGAGCAGGUGCGAAAGCAGGUCAUAGUGAUCCGGUGGUUCUGAAUGGAAGGGCCAUCGCUCAACGGAUAAAAGGUACUCCGGGGAUAACAGGCUGAUACCGCCCAAGAGUUCAUAUCGACGGCGGUGUUUGGCACCUCGAUGUCGGCUCAUCACAUCCUGGGGCUGAAGUAGGUCCCAAGGGUAUGGCUGUUCGCCAUUUAAAGUGGUACGCGAGCUGGGUUUAGAACGUCGUGAGACAGUUCGGUCCCUAUCUGCCGUGGGCGCUGGAGAAUUGAGGGGGGCUGCUCCUAGUACGAGAGGACCGGAGUGGACGCAUCACUGGUGUUCGGGUUGUCAUGCCAAUGGCACUGCCCGGUAGCUAAAUGCGGAAGAGAUAAGUGCUGAAAGCAUCUAAGCACGAAACUUGCCCCGAGAUGAGUUCUCCCUGAGACUUUAAGUCUCCUGAAGGAACGUUGAAGACGACGACGUUGAUAGGCCGGGUGUGUAAGCGCAGCGAUGCGUUGAGCUAACCGGUACUAAUGAACCGUGAGGCUUAACCUUACAACGCCGAAG
This 2924-nucleotide ribosomal RNA is filed under the name Klebsiella pneumoniae. RNAcentral's name for it is "23S ribosomal RNA". It matches the Rfam family "Bacterial large subunit ribosomal RNA". Lineage: Bacteria; Pseudomonadati; Pseudomonadota; Gammaproteobacteria; Enterobacterales; Enterobacteriaceae. The record is from RNAcentral.